AGUUGUUGGAUCUCAGUGAUGACCAAUAUGGGAGAAAGAUGGAAUUACUUGCUAACUUUAGAAAAAGAUGAGCACGAAUGAUCAACUUUGACACAAGAGAUUAAAAUCAAUGUGCUUGAGAAACAACCACAACAGAAAUACCAGCUGCCUUUUGAAAACAAGGGCAUUGGGGAAUGAAUGGGAUUGCAUGUUUCUUCUGUUCUGUGUUCAAGAGCUUCGAUGGCUACUGUGUUACAUCAGCUCUGCCCCCUCUGAUUUCACGCUCACACAUUAACGAGAGCUGACACUGGAGAUUAGACGCAGACAGCUGGAAUGCCAGGGCUUUGUUGCGGCAUGGACUGCAGCCAACGUCGUUCAACCACAGCCAAGAGGGACCUGGGAAAGUCUUCUUAAGAAGGAGGGA
This 403-nucleotide long non-coding RNA is filed under the name Cricetulus griseus (Chinese hamster). RNAcentral's name for it is "lncRNA (ENSCGRG00015032228.1)". The record is from RNAcentral. Lineage: Eukaryota; Metazoa; Chordata; Mammalia; Rodentia; Cricetidae.